CGUACACUCCUACGGGAGGCAGCAGUGGGGAAUUUUGGACAAUGGGCGAAAGCCUGAUCCAGCCAUGCCGCGUGCAGGAUGAAGGCCUUCGGGUUGUAAACUGCUUUUGUACGGAACGAAACGGCCUUUUCUAAUAAAGAGGGCUAAUGACGGUACCGUAAGAAUAAGCACCGGCUAACUACGUGCCAGCAGCCGCGGUAAUACGUAGGGUGCAAGCGUUAAUCGGAAUUACUGGGCGUAAAGCGUGCGCAGGCGGUUAUGUAAGACAGUUGUGAAAUCCCCGGGCUCAACCUGGGAACUGCAUCUGUGACUGCAUAGCUAGAGUACGGUAGAGGGGGAUGGAAUUCCGCGUGUAGCAGUGAAAUGCGUAGAUAUGCGGAGGAACACCGAUGGCGAAGGCAAUCCCCUGGACCUGUACUGACGCUCAUGCACGAAAGCGUGGGGAGCAAACAGGAUUAGAAACCCCGGUAGUCCCAUGA
This 479-nucleotide ribosomal RNA is filed under the name uncultured organism. RNAcentral's name for it is "partial 16S ribosomal RNA". It matches the Rfam family "Bacterial small subunit ribosomal RNA", at positions 330 to 800 of the family's 1533-position model. The record is from RNAcentral.